AUAACAGAGCUAAGGCUUUUGUAGAACAGUCAAACCUUGAAGAACACGGGUUUGAACUGCGAGAGUCCACUUAUAUGAGGGUUUUUGAAAAUAAAAGUUACCCCGAGUGUGCCUGCCUCUCCUGCCUUCCCUUCCACGUCCUCCACCUCUUCUGCCUCUGCCACCCCUGAGACAGCAAGACCAACCCCCGGCUUCUCCUCCUCAGUCUACUCAACCUGACGAUCACAAGGAUGAAGACCUUUAUGACUCACCUUUAUGAUUCACUUCCAACAUAGUAAAUAUGUUUUCUCUUCCUUA
RNAcentral lists this long non-coding RNA (297 nucleotides) under Homo sapiens (human). RNAcentral describes it as "novel transcript, antisense to SMCO2". The record is from RNAcentral. Lineage: Eukaryota; Metazoa; Chordata; Mammalia; Primates; Hominidae.